GACGAACGCUGGCGGCGUGCUUAACACAUGCAAGUCGAACGGAAAGGCCCUGCUUUUGUGGGGUGCUCGAGUGGCGAACGGGUGAGUAACACGUGAGUAACCUGCCCUUGACUUUGGGAUAACUUCAGGAAACUGGGGCUAAUACCGGAUAGGAGCUCCUGCUGCAUGGUGGGGGUUGGAAAGUUUCGGCGGUUGGGGAUGGACUCGCGGCUUAUCAGCUUGUUGGUGGGGUAGUGGCUUACCAAGGCUUUGACGGGUAGCCGGCCUGAGAGGGUGACCGGCCACAUUGGGACUGAGAUACGGCCCAGACUCCUACGGGAUGCAGCAGUGGGGAAUAUUGCACAAUGGGCGGAAGCCUGAUGCAGCAACGCCGCGUGCGGGAUGACGGCCUUCGGGGUGUAAACCGCUUUCGCCUGUGACGAAGCGUGAGUGACGGUAAUGGGUAAAGAAGCACCGGCUAACUACGUG
Molecule: ribosomal RNA, 468 nt
Filed under: uncultured bacterium
Lineage: Bacteria
Description: partial 16S ribosomal RNA
Rfam family: Bacterial small subunit ribosomal RNA
Source: RNAcentral